ACCUGCAUUCUAAAGUGACCGUGGGCUGCCUGUGCCCUGGUCGUCAAUUAUGCAGGGAGAAGAACUGAAAGCCGUUUCCCGUGUUUGGAGGGUCCAGCCUGUCCCUUUCAAAUGCUGGCACUUUCAUACA
RNAcentral lists this small nucleolar RNA (130 nucleotides) under Chinchilla lanigera (long-tailed chinchilla). RNAcentral describes it as "Small nucleolar RNA SNORA71 (ENSCLAG00000018303.1)". It matches the Rfam family "Small nucleolar RNA SNORA71". From Rfam's summary of the family: The members of this family belong to the H/ACA class of snoRNAs which bind a number of proteins (including dyskerin, Gar1p and Nop10p) to form snoRNP complexes. This class of snoRNAs are thought to guide the sites of modification of uridines to pseudouridines by forming direct base pairing interactions with substrate RNAs. This family includes U71 (SNORA71), ACA39 (SNORA39) and ACA60 (SNORA60). The record is from Rfam by way of RNAcentral. Lineage: Eukaryota; Metazoa; Chordata; Mammalia; Rodentia; Chinchillidae.